GCUGGGUGUGGUGGCUCACACCUGUAAUCCCAGCACUUUGGGAGGCCGAGGUGGGCGGAUCACCUGAGGUCAGGAGUUCGAGACCAGCCUGGCCAACAUGGUGAAAUCCCAUCUCUA
This 117-nucleotide non-coding RNA is filed under the name Homo sapiens (human). The record is from Rfam by way of RNAcentral. Lineage: Eukaryota; Metazoa; Chordata; Mammalia; Primates; Hominidae.